GCCGAGGUAGCUCAGUCGGUAGAGCAGGGGACUGAAAAUCCUCGUGUCA
Molecule: transfer RNA, 49 nt
Filed under: Loxogramme grammitoides
Lineage: Eukaryota; Viridiplantae; Streptophyta; Polypodiopsida; Polypodiales; Polypodiaceae
Description: partial tRNA-Phe
Rfam family: tRNA
About the family: Transfer RNA (tRNA) molecules are approximately 80 nucleotides in length. Their secondary structure includes four short double-helical elements and three loops (D, anti-codon, and T loops).
Source: RNAcentral